Molecule: long non-coding RNA, 300 nt
Organism: Carassius carassius (crucian carp)
Lineage: Eukaryota; Metazoa; Chordata; Actinopteri; Cypriniformes; Cyprinidae
Exons: 3
Source: RefSeq, a predicted model, not a curated record
AGAACUGUGUGAGGCAUGACUGGUAAGGGUGCUAGAACUAAUUGUCACACAAACAAGACCAGGUGAAACAACUUAUUUAAAGUAAGCCAAACGAUCAGAAGAUGAGAAGGUGAACGGGAAGCUGGGCUCUUUGUUUGUUCAGGGGGCGAGCUGAUUCAGUGCAUAAUGCAAACUGCUAAAACAAGCAUUUUGAUUCAUCAUGAGAGGGGCUGAUUACUAAUGUAUUAUUGGAAUGCACAAGCUACUAAAACGAGGCGGUUGCACUCGAGGGACAGUGGGCGCACGUGUGGUGUUUACUUU